UAUGGAAUCUAGCAAAGUUAUGGUGGGCUCACAUUUUUUUGAGGCAAUUUUUUCUAGCCACAUGGAAACAUAAGUUAAAAAAAAACACUAGGCAAAUAAGUUUUUUUUAAUGGAAACAUAAGUUUGUCACUCAUGUUUCCAGGGGGGGCGGCCCAUAAGCCCAACUCUGGCUUAUCCUCCCCAUCAUCAUCCCAUCCAGAAAAACGUAUCCACAAUUCUUGCAACAGGGAGGCUGGUGGCGGCCGGCUGCCGGCUGCCGGCUGCCGGCGAGCGAUUCCCCCGGCGUCCGUCGCACUUGGGCAGCUCCCUCUGGAAUUAGCCGGCGGCUAAGCGAGCUCCUCGUCUUGCCUCGCGUCCCCAAUCCUCUGCUCUGCUCUGGCGAGGGACUCCGGCGGGACGGGAGCUCUCUGCCAUGCCAUGAAUAAGCAUCUCUGUGUUAGAAAGAGCUUACUAGUACUGAUAUGAGGGUAAUACUAGGAAGUAUGGAGUAUGGAGUAUGUAUGAGGGAAAUACUAGUACUGAUAUGGAAUGCACCCUGGAAAAUAAUGAAGCGUGGAAACGCAGAAUAAAGCUCCAUUUGAUUGUUAAAAUGUCAAAAUGCAAAAAAUACAGCUCCAUUUGAUUCCGGUAUGC
Long non-coding RNA from Triticum aestivum (bread wheat), 633 nucleotides. RefSeq lists it as uncharacterized. The transcript is spliced from 2 exons. The record is from RefSeq and is a predicted model, not a curated record. Lineage: Eukaryota; Viridiplantae; Streptophyta; Magnoliopsida; Poales; Poaceae.